Molecule: non-coding RNA, 1170 nt
Organism: Cinara cedri
Lineage: Eukaryota; Metazoa; Arthropoda; Insecta; Hemiptera; Aphididae
Source: the annotation of a GenBank genome assembly
CAAUAUCGAGUGUUGUGUAUUUUUAUGUUGAAAAUACUCCCACUGAAGAAUGGAAGACUAAAAACUAAAAUGACGGACAUACUUCGCACGGUGGAUGGGCUAAUGUUGUAAGUAAGAAGUUGAGUAGAUAGGACAUAGAGGGGAAUUUAAUGUAUUUUUGUAUACAACGAUCAAUCAUUGCUAACGAAAAACGAUUCUGAGCGGAUGAGUUCGGUUAGACGUAUUUUAAAAGGCCGUAAUAUUUACGAUUUCCGUAAAACUCUGAUAUUCAAAUUAUUAUGAAAAAAAAUACUACAUUAAACUCAAUUAUUUCUUGUUGACCUUUAAGUACAACUUAUAAUGAACAACCUUAAAGUUAAAUUUCAAGUAUUUCUGUUUGGUCUUAACAACUGUUCACAGAGUACCUACCAAAUGUAUUAUUAAAAUUACGGAAUUUUACGUAAAUACGAUAUUUACGUAAAAAUUUCGCAAAAUUAAAAUGUUUCUAAAUAACGUAAAAAUGGCUCAAAUAUUUUGAACUUUGACCACGUCUAGAAAAAACAAACAUUACUUUUCUAUUACAAUAUCAAGUCUCCACGAAAAGUUUCUAACUGAACUAAAUUAUAACAAAAAAACAAAAUUUAAAAUAAUAAAAACAUUAUUUUAGUAAAUUUCCCGUUUUUUCUACGUUUUUCCCAAUUAUUUUGAAAAUUCUUGAAAAAUCAAACAAUUAUCGCCCUAGGAAAAUUUCCUUUGAGAAAAGCUACUACACUUGAAAAUAGAAGGAAGAUUUCUUAGAGAAUUUGUUAUACACACAGUAUAAUAGAAAUUAAAUAAAAUUUAAAAAAUUAAACAUUAUUGUAAAACCAAUAAUACGUCCUUCGCUCAGAAUCUAAAAUUCCGAAAAUAUUAAAUGCCAGUAAAUAUCUCUCAAAUAAAUAGAAUUUGUCCAUUUUAUUAUAUUUUUUUCCCCAGGUUUUCCGGAUUAUCAUGAAAACUAGCUGAAAAUCAAAAAAUCAUAAUAUUUUUAGUGCAUCAACUAGAUUUGAAAUGCCACAAAAAUCUCUCUUGUCGUUUUUUGGUUGGACGAAGAUUUCCGGUAGAGAAAUUGUUGCAGACACGUAAACAUUUAAAAAAAAAAAUCAUAGUAGUUACAUAUGUUAAUUAUGCCAGUAUAUUUCUCGUUCCACU